GGUAUCAUAACUUUGCAAAUUCAGAGGAUAGAAGAAAAUGAAACAUGUUCAGAUUGUGAUACUCUACAAAAACAUUGCCAGUUUUGCGUGAUUCCUGUACAGCUGAAUCAUAGUGGUUCAUUCUUUGAGGAAUUGAGGACUAAACUUACACCAGGACAAAAGUAUAUAAUUGGAGACAGCUGGUCAAGCCAUGUAGAAGAAAUCCCUGUACCGACUAUGUGUUUAGUGUAUAGAGGAGCUUCAUACACAGAAUACGUAUCCUGCAAUAAUGUUUUUAAUGAUGGAUGCAGCAAUUCU
Saccostrea echinata is the source of this 297-nucleotide long non-coding RNA. RefSeq lists it as uncharacterized. The transcript is spliced from 3 exons. The record is from RefSeq and is a predicted model, not a curated record. NCBI's taxonomy places the organism in Eukaryota, Metazoa, Mollusca, Bivalvia, Ostreida, Ostreidae.